Molecule: long non-coding RNA, 1094 nt
Organism: Cucumis sativus (cucumber)
Lineage: Eukaryota; Viridiplantae; Streptophyta; Magnoliopsida; Cucurbitales; Cucurbitaceae
Exons: 2
Source: RefSeq, a predicted model, not a curated record
CUAAGUUUGUUGCAAUUCCAUAGUAUGCCAUCCUCUCAAACACCUCGUACGCUACGAAACCAACAUUUUGAAAACAUUAACCACUCCUUUCUCAACUCAAGAACUAGAAGAACAAAACCCAACACAGGUUUCAAACAAGCUUUAAAAAGAGAGCUUGCAGAAGUGGAGGCCAGAAGAAGAUGGACAAAAGCAAAAGCAAAAGCAAAACAAAACAGGAAAGCUUGUCGAAGAUUAUAAUUACCAACAAUGAAGGAACAGGCUCUCCAUCUCCCAGUCUUUGAUCUUAAGACAGGUAAACCUUUGAGACUCACGGUUCCAUCUUCAGUAUAAUCAUCUCUUCCAUUUUCAGAUCCUUUCUCCCCCACUUGUGCCAUUAUAGUAAACAACGGAGAGGCAGAGUAAUAAUGAAGGAACUUUCUAUAAGGAAAUCGUUGAAAUUCAUGUGAGUUCUAUUACCUUUUUAUAUAAUCUUAAGGUAGCCAUGCAUCUUUAAACAACCUCCCUCCCCCAAUAAAAAUAAAUAAAUAAAUGAAAUCACCACCACAAACUUAUUUAGUGUGAAGUUUAAUAAUAUUAGUAUAAAGUAAGUAAAUUAGGCAUGCUCAUGCUGGCUAUGGUUUUAAAAGGUUUGGAAAUUUUGAUUUUGAGCAUUUUUUAGUUUUAUAAAAAAAAAACAGUGUGAAAGGUGGAAUUAAAAAGGAAAGUUUUUGUAGUUAGUAUAGUUAAUUAUCAAACCUAAAUAUUUGUUAUAGAGACAUGUUAGUCAUUUUUGUUUUGAGAGAUCUGUUUCAUUCAUUUGUACAAAAGACCAUAUGCCCUUGUAGCUUCUCAUUGGGUGUUAUUAUUUGUUUCUUCUUUCCUCCAAUGUGAGAAGUUGGCCUCUAAAUCAACGAUUGAAUUAGUGUUGACAUAAUCUUGCCACUCUUUUUCAGUCACUUUCACAUUUUGGUUUCACUUAUUAUUAUAUUUUUAUGUUUACAAUUUUGAGGAGAAUGUCUAAUCAAUAUGAUAGACCGUCGCAGUUAACACAUAUUACAAACUUUUCUAGCUUGUAGUUAUCUUUACAUUCGGCAGAAGAUGAUAAGCUUCAGUUU